CCUACGGGAGACAGCAGUAGGGAAUCUUCCACAAUGGGCGAAAGCCUGAUGGAGCAACGCCGCGUGGGUGAAGAAGGUCUUCGGAUCGUAAAACCCUGUUGUUAGAGAAGAAAGUGCGUGAGAGUAACUGUUCACGUUUCGACGGUAUCUAACCAGAAAGCCACGGCUAACUACGUGCCAGCAGCCGCGGUAAUACGUAGGUGGCAAGCGUUAUCCGGAAUUAUUGGGCGUAAAGGGAACGCAGGCGGUCUUUUAAGUCUGAUGUGAAAGCCUUCGGCUUAACCGGAGUAGUGCAUUGGAAACUGGGAGGCUUGAGUGCAGAAGAGGGGAGUGGAACUCCAUGUGUAGCGGUGAAAUGCGUAGAUAUAUGGAGGAACACCAGUGGCGAAGGCGGCUCUCUGGUCUGUAACUGACGCUGAGGUUCGAAAGCGUGGGUAGCAAACAGGAUUAGAUACCCUAGUAGUC
This 465-nucleotide ribosomal RNA is filed under the name uncultured bacterium. RNAcentral describes it as "partial 16S ribosomal RNA". It matches the Rfam family "Bacterial small subunit ribosomal RNA", at positions 338 to 795 of the family's 1533-position model. The record is from RNAcentral.